CUAUAGCAUGGCUUUCAGCUGUCAGGAAAAACAGUUUCAGUACUUUUACUUUACACAAUUCUAAAGAGAUGUGGAUAAUUGACCAUUGGUGAUCACAAAUAUUUAGUUUUAUUUGAAGACAGCUUAACAGUUGAGGAGCUAUCACUUACUUCCGGUCUACUUCCGGAAAAAUUGCCUUGAAGAGCAAGUUCUAUACUACAGGAUUAUAAUUUAGACUUUAUGAGAAGUCAUAUUCUAUGAAGAAAUAGGACUGACUACAGUCAACAUGGUCCCUUGUUUGGUAACCUGUUGGCUGCUACCCGUGAAUCUCCCUUUUUACUUCCUUACACAGACCCUCUUGAUUUGAGGGUAACUCCUUCGCUACUUAUCAUGGACUUCAUCCAUUGGUGAAAACUGACGAGAG
This is a long non-coding RNA of Daphnia pulex (common water flea), 403 nucleotides long. RefSeq lists it as uncharacterized. Lineage: Eukaryota; Metazoa; Arthropoda; Branchiopoda; Diplostraca; Daphniidae. The transcript is spliced from 3 exons. The record is from RefSeq and is a predicted model, not a curated record.